Molecule: long non-coding RNA, 467 nt
Filed under: Phoenix dactylifera (date palm)
Lineage: Eukaryota; Viridiplantae; Streptophyta; Magnoliopsida; Arecales; Arecaceae
Description: long non-coding RNA (PDAC_LNC022344)
Source: RNAcentral
UUGAUGGCGAUUGGAUCAAGAGUUGGUCAAGGAUCGAAUCAAGGAGGCUUGGAACCAAUUCAAGAGUUGAAGACCAGUUGAUCGAUUGACGUGCAUGUGCUUGUAAUACGACCUAACUAGAAUCCAUGAUCAUCACCUAUUUAAAGUUUAGCUUUAAUUUGAUGCUGCGAUUAUAACUGCCUGUGAUAUGCCGUUUGCAUGUGAUGUGAAUGCGAGUCGGGUAGAUAGGUUUACAUGUGAUGUAGCAAACCCAAUUGAGACCUAAAUCAAAACCUCCUCAAUCAAGUCGAGAGUCAACCGACAUGAGCAAGUCAUAUUAGAUUAAUUGAUCUAAUUGGUGUCUAGGAAAGCAUGAAAGGUGGUUACUUAAUUAGGACCUUACUCUCUGAGUAAGGGGAGCCUCCCACCUGCUUACCUGGCCAAUUAUUCGAUUACCUCUUAUGAAGGGCUCAAGUUGACAAACACUA